Molecule: ribosomal RNA, 755 nt
Filed under: Enterobacter sp. BB2
Lineage: Bacteria; Pseudomonadati; Pseudomonadota; Gammaproteobacteria; Enterobacterales; Enterobacteriaceae
Description: partial 16S ribosomal RNA
Rfam family: Bacterial small subunit ribosomal RNA
Source: RNAcentral
AAACUGCCUCCGGUGUGGAGCGCCGCAGAGGUGAGUAUGUGUGGGGACUCUCCGCUGUAGGGGGAGAUCUCCUGUGAACACUGUCUCUAACCCCGCAUUGUCUCAACAGCCCAGUGCAGGAGCUCUUCGCCCCUUGCCCUCUCAUGUGCCCCCAUGUGAUUUUAUCUUAUGUGGGGGGUAGCGUCUCACCUACGACAAUAUCUCUAUCUGCUCAGAGAAGAUGAUCCCCCACUCUGGCUCUGACACACUCCCCACUCUCCUACGAGAGGCCACUGGGGAGAAUAUUGCAAUGUGGGCGCAAGCCAGAUCCCCCCAUGCCGCGUGNAUGAAAAGGGCCUUCGUUGUGUAAAACUUUUUCCGCGGAGAAGAAGGAGAUAGGGUUAAUACUUGUCUAUUGUGACGUUACNCACAAAAAACACCCCGGCUAUCUCCGUGCCCACCCCCGCGGUAAUACAGAGGGUGCACGCGUUACUCAGAACUGGGCGUGUAGCGCGCACGCGCGGUCUGUCUUGUCUCAUAUGUGAUCCCCCCGCUCUCCUGUGAACUGUGUAUCAGACUGUGGUGCUCUAGUCUCGUGUAGGGGGGGGGUAGUUCUCCGUGUGUAGCUGAGAUGUGCGUAGAUAUGUAGAAGUACCGGUGGUGGAGAGCGGCCCCCUCUGGACAGACUGUGACUCUGUGCGANAGCGUGUGGAGCANNCACGNGAAUANNUACUGUGGUACUCACNCUAUACACGAUCGACUAUGUAGGAUGUGCG